Long non-coding RNA from Zophobas morio, 327 nucleotides. RefSeq lists it as uncharacterized. Lineage: Eukaryota; Metazoa; Arthropoda; Insecta; Coleoptera; Tenebrionidae. The transcript is spliced from 4 exons. The record is from RefSeq and is a predicted model, not a curated record.
CUGUUAGGCCUAUAACUUCUAAUUCAAUGUAGUAAGAUUCCUCAGUUGUCACAAAAUGAGCUUAAUCACAAGGAUCGUAAUUUGUUUAUCGACGAUGGGGGAAGGCGGGACUCAGUGUUCUCUCCACUUCGACCUCCACGACGGCCAUAUUAACAGAUAAUUUAAUCAAUAUUUUUGAGUAGUAAAGAGGACAAUGAGUAACUACGUGAAUAUCCAUGCGGAGAAGUACUUUUCAAAUGAGACAGCCCAUUGAAUAAUGCAAAGCUCAAACGACCAAGGAACCCUCGAUAAGAGUCUGGGCGCAGUAUGUAAAUAGACUUAUCUAAC